UACAGAGGUCCCGAGCGUUGUUCGGAUUCAUUGGGCGUAAAGAGCUCGUAGGCGGUCUGUCGCGUCUGCUGUGAAAACUCGGGGCUUAACCCCGGGCCUGCAGUGGGGACGGGCAGACUAGAGUGCGGUAGGGGAGACUGGAAUUCCUGGUGUAGCGGUGAAAUGCGCAGAUAUCAGGAGGAACACCGGUGGCGAAGGCGGGUCUCUGGGCCGAUAAUGACGCUGAGGCACGAAAGCGUGGGGAGCAAACAGG
Molecule: ribosomal RNA, 253 nt
Filed under: uncultured bacterium
Lineage: Bacteria
Description: partial 16S ribosomal RNA
Rfam family: Bacterial small subunit ribosomal RNA
Source: RNAcentral